GUAAAUAUCUAAAGUUGAACU
Molecule: microRNA, 21 nt
Filed under: Drosophila melanogaster (fruit fly)
Lineage: Eukaryota; Metazoa; Arthropoda; Insecta; Diptera; Drosophilidae
Description: dme-miR-1008-5p
Source: miRBase by way of RNAcentral